AUUGAACGCUGGCGGCAGGCCUAACACAUGCAAGUCGAGCGAGCGGCGGACGGGUGAGUACUGUAUGGGGACUGCCCGAUAGAGGGGGAUAACUACUGGAAACGGUGGCUAAUACCGCAUACCGUCGGAUACCCCAUAUGGGAUUAGCUAGUAGGUAAGGUAAUGGCUUACCUAGGCGACGAUCACUAGCUGGUCUGAGAGGAUGAUCAGCCACACUGGGACUGAGACACGGUCCAGACUCCGACGGAGGCAGCAGUGGGGAAUAUUGCACAAUGGGCGCAAGCCGGAUGCAGCCAUGCCGCGUGUAUGAAGAAGGCCUUAGGGUUGUAAAGUACUUUCAGUGGGGAGGCGUUACCGACAGAAGAAGCACCGGCUAACUCCGUGCCAGCAGCCGCGGUAAUAC
Molecule: ribosomal RNA, 403 nt
Filed under: uncultured bacterium
Lineage: Bacteria
Description: partial 16S ribosomal RNA
Rfam family: Bacterial small subunit ribosomal RNA
Source: RNAcentral